Molecule: long non-coding RNA, 699 nt
Organism: Ahaetulla prasina
Lineage: Eukaryota; Metazoa; Chordata; Lepidosauria; Squamata; Colubridae
Exons: 3
Source: RefSeq, a predicted model, not a curated record
CCCAUUGCUUCUUGUCCUACCCUCAGGUGCUUUGGAGAAUAGCUUGACUCCCUCUUCUUUGUGGCAGCCCCUGAGAUAUUGGAACACUGUUAUCAUGACAUUCCUAGUCCUUCUUUUCAUCAAACUAGACAUACCCAGUUCCUGCAACAGUUCUUGAUAUGUUUUAGCCUCCAGUCCCCUAAUCAUCUUUGUAGCUCUUCUCUGCACUCUUUCUAGAGUCUCAGCAUCUUUUUUACAUCGCGGCGACCAAAACUGAAUGCAGUAUUCCAAGUGUGGCCUUACCAAGGCAUUAUAAAGUGGUAUUAACUCUUCACGUGAUCUUGACUCUAUCCCUCUGUUUAUGCAGCCCAGAACUGUGUUGGCUUUUUUAGCAGCUGCUGCACACGGCUGGCUCAUAUCUAAAUGGUUGUCUACUAGGACUUCAAGAUCCCUCUCACAGGCAAAACUCUUCUAUUUAGUUUCCUGGGCUGUGCCCCCAAAUGUAUGGAAGUCUAUGAGCGACCCCAGGAUCAAAAUAUCACUCAGAUCGUGACAUGUUGUUCUAACCGAGAUUUCUGCAAUGCUUAAAACUUGUCUGAGGGAAGACUCGUAAGAUUAUGCCACCGUCUGCUGGAAGAAUUUGGAAAGACUUGGCAGAAAAUGGAGAAUGAAAAGAAAGGAAACCCAGGCCACUUUGGAGUAAGGUAGUCCUUGACUUAC